Molecule: unclassified non-coding RNA, 307 nt
Filed under: uncultured Clavariaceae
Lineage: Eukaryota; Fungi; Basidiomycota; Agaricomycetes; Agaricales; Clavariaceae
Description: sequence contains ITS2
Rfam family: 5.8S ribosomal RNA (bases 1-52)
Source: RNAcentral
AACGCACCUUGCACCCUUUGGUAUUCCGAAGGGUAUGCCUGUUUGAGUGUCAUUAAAUUCUCAACUUCAAAAGGAUUUUGUCUUUUUUUGAAGCUUGGACUAUGGAAGUUUGCUGGUAUCACUAUCAGCUCUUCUUAAAUGCAUUAGCGGAACUUUGAAGGACCAGCUUUGGUUUGAUAAUCCUAUCUAUGCCGCUGCUGUGGACUUGUGUGUGUUCAGCUUCUAAUGGUCUUCGGACUGUCUCCAUUGUGAGGCAUACACUUUUAAGCUUGACCUCAAAUCAGGUAGGACUACCCGCUGAACUUAA